CAGCAAUUGGCUAAGGGGCUGCGGCUUUCCGAACCCUCUCUCCCGCCCGUGACUAUGAAUGGACAUCGGCGUUGUCAGUCACCCGUACUGCGCCGCAACCAGGCCCUUGGCCGGUCUUUCUGUCUUUCUUUCGUCGCUGAUUCCUACCUCAUCCUGGGCAAGUUCAGGGUAGCACUUGGGAGCAGAGGAGCUUCGGCAAGGAAAGUCAGCCCGCAUGGCCCUAACGUGACCGUCGGUUAUGGGAGGGUUUUAGGCCUAGGAGGAGCGUGGAAAGCGCACAGAGGAACUAAGGCUUUGCUACCGUUGGUCCAGGCGGACUGUGAGCCUCCAGUUCAAAAGCUGGACAGAGUUGGCGGCAGCGAAAACCGAGGAAUCCCAGCUGCGUCCUUAUCUUCUUCUUCCCACCCCAGGUCAAAGGCGCGCUUCGCAGAGCCCCAGGGCACGCGGUGCUGCAUGGGCCACGGUCCACGGAGGUAGGAGAAGGCCUGGGGUGCCAACCGCAGGGAACUUGAUGGGGCUGGAAGGGGACAGGGAGUUCCGGAAGAGGCCAAGAGUCGAAGCCUCAGCCGGUUACUCCCACGCCCCUACCUCCACAGGCCGGUAGGGGUAAGUCACCCGGGCCCUCUAGUCCGACUCUCAGCGGGCCGACACGGGCGGGCAGAGGGACCAGGAUGCUGUGGCCCUACGCCUUGCGCUCUGAGGCAUCACCGUCGGCCAAGACCCUAGCGGCAGCGGUUCCUGUCCCUCUCUGCGACCGUCCUCACGGCUGUGGCCGACCGGCUGUCCUGUGCCUCGGCGUCCCCCGCCAGCGUUCCGGGCUGGGAGCGUGGCCCAGGGCAGAGACAGGGGAGGGGAGGUGGCGCGCGCGGAAGAGAGGAAGAUAAGGGAGAGAGGCGGCUGGGGAGCCAGGCUGGCAGGAGCUGACCUGCGCCCUCAGCCUGGCUGGCAACCGGCCCUCCAUAGCAACGGCCUGCCAGAGCCUGUGGGCGCGCGCGUUUGUGCGCGCGCGCGCGAAUGUGUGCGGUGAAGAUCUGAGCCUUCCCAGUCCCUGGGUAACAGAGGCUGAACAGGAUCGCACAAUCCCGGGUCGGGGACCGAGGAGUCCCCUUCAGGAGGGAGGCUCAGCUUUGCAGGUGCGGCUGGCGCCUUAGGGCCCGGGAUCCCUCUCGGCCCGGGGUGGGGAUGCGCCCAUCUCAAGCUCGGUUUCAGGGUCCCGGGGCUCCUGGCCUCCUGCCCAAACCUCCUGUUGCAGCCGCAGGAUCAGGGAAUUGCGCGUGGUGCGGCUCGAGCGAGCGCCUGAGAUCUGGCCCGGAGCGUGCGCCCCCGUCGGCUGGCUCCCCAGAGCCCAGAGGGGCUGAGCGGAACAGGCCGAGCGACCCGUGGCCACCCUCCGCUGGGAACCUGCUCGCCGGCCUCAGGCGCUCCUCUUGUCCUCCAGCCACGUGGGAUUCCCUGCUGGCCCAGCCGCAUCCCGCAGCUCAGUUUCGGAGAACCGCGUGAGGGCCCGGCAGUGGGCCCCAGGAUCCUGAAGCCACCGAAUACAGGCUGAACCCCAGAGUAGGGCAUGCAGCUCCAGGCCAGAUGGCCAGCUUUGUGUUCUCCACAAAUUGAUGUGACUUGACAAGUAAGUGAGUAAAAAAUUAUUUCACGUAGUUUUCUGUCGUCCCAAAGGAUCCUACUUUCAUGUCAAAGCACCACACUAGAUUAGACCUGAACUGAAAAACCCAGUCUUUCCAACAAGUGGAGGAAGGAUGGGCUCGGAGGUGGCUCAAUGUAAGUUGGAUUUUGGUCACUUUCAAAAGAGUGAGAUGGCUUUAAAGGCACCAUAGAAAAGUACGUUCCCCCCCCCCCCGGGCUUCCCCUGUGGUGGGCAGUGACUUGCCGUGGACAGCCCUGACCCAUGGCCCCUGCUUCCCAUGGACAGCCUCCAGGAUUCUGCUUGAUCCCACACCAUGCUGGUCAGUUCCCAAGGGGAAAGACAGACUCUCCAAGAAAUUCAGGAAAAGAAGUGUUUGUAAUUUAAGUGGGGACCCAUUUAGCCUGCUGCUUCAGAAACAGCCCUAUCUGAGAUACCACUGUCCCCAAAACUGGGCGUGAAAACCAAGACCUCUGGGAUCCUAAAGGAGUCAUGGGACUUACGGCUCUGGCCGUCCCUGUAGGCGAUGCCCAUAGACUAUGGUGGGGUGCUGGUGCCCUGUGAGAACCUCUGUCUGGUAGCUUGUGAAUGUGGACAUGGGAUGGGACAUAGAUAGGAAGUGGUCAUCUACAUGGGUCACUCACAUCCACUAGAGAGACUGGAACAGGAUGAACACGGGCAGCUGUGCUUGGCUGCUCAGGGGGCACCCAUGUUUAGUCCUGAACCCCAAGAUGGGGUGGUGGUGCUGGGGAGCAAGCGACAGCCCAGCUCCUAGGGUUGGCACCCCAAGGAUGCCAGCUCUGGCACUGUCAAUACACAUUCGAGGUCCCACGCAUGGUGAGCGUCUGCACUGCCUUGGCCUGUUCCUCUCUCUGGCCACCACACCACCUUCUGGACCCAGGAGAAAGGCCUUUCCCCGCAGCCUGGACCUCCUCAAGCAUCACUUCCUGUGGACACGCAGCUGUGCAUCACGUCACCCCAGUGAGCCCCAGCCCGACUUCUUCUGUGGGCUGGCAGCCCAUACCCUGCAGGGCUGGUGCACAGCUAUCAGGAGCAAGGACCCUGGCUACCAGGCGAAGACCGUGAGCUGCUCCUGCCAUCGUGUAACCCUGGGAUGAUAGUGUAGC
Molecule: long non-coding RNA, 2763 nt
Organism: Heterocephalus glaber (naked mole-rat)
Lineage: Eukaryota; Metazoa; Chordata; Mammalia; Rodentia; Bathyergidae
Source: Ensembl